ACUCCUACGGGAGGCAGCAGUGGGGAAUAUUGCACAAUGGGGAAACCCUGACGCAGCGACGCCGCGUGCGGGAAGAAGGCCUGGUCGUAACCGCUGUCAGAGGAAGAAACUGUUGGGUAGUAAUACGCCCAUUCACUGACGGUACCUCCAGAGGAAGCACCGGCUAACUCCGUGCCAGCAGCCGCGGUAAUACGGAGGGUGCGAGCGUAAUCGGAAUCACUGGCGUAAAGCGUGCGUAGGCGGCGCAGCAAGUCAGACGUGAAAGCCCUCGGCUCAACCGAGGAAUUGCGUUUGAAACUGCUGCGCUAGAGUCUCGGAGAGGUUAGGGGAAGUUCCAGGUGUAGGAGUGAAAUCCGUAGAUAUCUGGAGGAACACCGGUGGCGAAGGCGCCUAACUGGACGAGUACUGACGCUGAGGUACGAAAGCUGGGGAGCAAACAGGAUUAGAUACCCUGGUAGCACAGAG
RNAcentral lists this ribosomal RNA (465 nucleotides) under uncultured bacterium. RNAcentral's name for it is "bacterial SSU rRNA". It matches the Rfam family "Bacterial small subunit ribosomal RNA", at positions 335 to 799 of the family's 1533-position model. The record is from RNAcentral.